AAGCCAUUUUGCCUUUAUGGUAAAUAUGGGAUGCAGUGUAUGGAACAUCAAUAAUCUAGUAUGAGAAAUUAACGAUUUAAGUCCUUCUUAAAUGAGGCCAUUUACCCAUAGAGGGUGCCAGGCCCGUAUAACGUUAAUGAUUAUUAGAAGAUGCUUCCAAAGAGUCGUGGUGCUUGAUAGUGCAGCACUAAGUGGGUGGUAAACUCCAUCUAAAACUAAAUAUAACCAUGAGACCGAUAGUAAACAAGUACCGUGAGGGAAAGUUGAAAAGAACUCUGAAUAGAGAGUUAAAUAGUACGUGAAACUGCUUAGAGGUUAAACCCGAUGAACCUGAAUAUCCAUUAUGGAAAAUUCAAUACUAAUAAAAUAGUGUGCAAUUUUUCCAUAUAAGGACAUUGUAAUCUGUUAAUGUAAUAAAUAUUUAUCAAAAGAUUCUUUACUUAAGUUUAUUUAAAUUCAACAUAAAAUAAAUGUAUUGAAUUGGAUAAAUCAUUGACAGAUAUAAUUGUAUAAUGUGCUUAAAUUCAUUAGAAUUUUACAAUAUUGUUUGCACUAUUAUGAUUAACAAUGCGAUAGAUUCAGGAUACCUUCGGGACCCGUCUUGAAACACGGACCAAGGAGUCUAACAUAUGUGCAAGUCAUUGGGUAUUUUUAAUAAAACCUAAUGGCAUAAUUAACUUAACUUUUGGGAUUAAUUUAUAUUUAUUCAAUCCCGGGGCGUUCUAUACAGUUAUGUAUAAUAAUAUUUAUAUUAUUUAUACCUCUAACUAGAGCGUACCUUGAGCAUAUAUGC
RNAcentral lists this ribosomal RNA (793 nucleotides) under Ocyptamus (Hybobathus) aff. arx GFGM-2015. RNAcentral's name for it is "eukaryotic LSU rRNA". It matches the Rfam family "Eukaryotic large subunit ribosomal RNA", at positions 116 to 809 of the family's 3401-position model. Lineage: Eukaryota; Metazoa; Arthropoda; Insecta; Diptera; Syrphidae. The record is from RNAcentral.